CGGGCUGGCCGGGCGACCGCGUCCCGCUGCGGCGGGCCGAGGAAGGUCCGGGCUCCACAGGGCAGGGUGGUGGGCAACGCCCACCCGGGGUGACCCGCGGGACAGUGCCACAGAGAACAGACCGCCUCCCGACCCUCCGGGGCCGGGCGGCAAGGGUGAAACGGUGGUGCAAGAGACCACCAGCGCUCCGGGUGACCGGAGCGGCUCGGCAAACCCCACCUGGAGCAAGGUCAAGAAGCCGCGACCCCGGUCGCGGUGCGCGAGCGUUCGAGGGCGGCCCGCCCGAGCUCGCGGGUGGACCGCACGAGGCUGUCGGCGACGGCAGCCCUAGAUGGAUGGUCGCCAGCCGACCGGUCGUGAGGCCGGUCGGGGAACAGAACCCGGCCUACGAGCCAGCCCGUCCG
Molecule: RNase P RNA, 404 nt
Filed under: Nocardioides perillae
Lineage: Bacteria; Bacillati; Actinomycetota; Actinomycetes; Propionibacteriales; Nocardioidaceae
Description: Bacterial RNase P class A
Rfam family: Bacterial RNase P class A
About the family: Ribonuclease P (RNase P) is a ubiquitous endoribonuclease, found in archaea, bacteria and eukarya as well as chloroplasts and mitochondria. Its best characterised activity is the generation of mature 5'-ends of tRNAs by cleaving the 5'-leader elements of precursor-tRNAs.
Source: Rfam by way of RNAcentral